GUCCCAUCACUAGACAGCGAACGCGAAACUCAACUGUGUGAGCAAGCGGAACGUGUCCUUGACUGCGCAAGUCCGCUAUGUCCUACACACCCACCUACCGGACACCGUGAGCUGGAGCGGACCCCAACAGGAACGCACUGUGCACCGCUCCUGCCUGCGGGAUCUGUAUGCGUUCACCAAGCUUGAUCGAAAACGAGAAAACGAGUGAAGUGAGAAAGAGAGAAAGAGCGAAAAAAGAACAGAAAGAGAUAACCUCAUCGAGCCAAGACGAAUCAUGCUCGAAGGAAAGACCGGGAUUGUGGAAUGAUCUUAACGAGACGAGUAUAUACUAACAGGGAAGGAGCAAUUUCUAUGAGGUUCCGAUCUUUCGAUCCCGUUUUCUUCCCUUUAAAAGUCCUUAUUGAAUAUAUCGGUAUUUUUUUCUACUACAUAACCUCAAAUGCUCUUGUAAAAGAAAACGAUAGGCAGAACUUUCUUGUUCCUGGAGAUGAUAAAAGUCUUAGUUUCCGGUUCGUUGAACUGGAACUGAGACGAAGUGUAUAAGAUUCGGUCUACGGAGUUUGAUCAUAGACGACCGGCUCUUAGGUUAGAAGAUAUCCGGAUUGCUUUGAAAUUACCGCGCGUACGAUUACCACGAUGAUUAAUUAACGAAUUAUUCACUAAUGAAAUAUAAGAAAAUAUACAAAGUGGUUAUACAUACAAAAUCAUUCGGAGAGAUUUUAUAAUUAAAAAUAAGACAAAAAUCAAAAAUAACAAAUUGCAA
Apis florea (little honeybee) is the source of this 763-nucleotide long non-coding RNA. NCBI's taxonomy places the organism in Eukaryota, Metazoa, Arthropoda, Insecta, Hymenoptera, Apidae. The record is from RefSeq and is a predicted model, not a curated record.